UCGUGUCUGUGAAGAAAACUACUGUUUCUAGGAAGGGGACCUGCUGGAGAUGGAGAGUGUGUUUAAGUUUGAUACGGGGUUGGUGUGAGUUAAGGAUAUGUAUAAAAUGGUUAAAUUCCGUUUCUGAUUCGUCCCAGAGGCCAAAGAUAUCAUCUAAGUAACGGAAAUAGACUAGGGGGCGUGACGGGCAUUUAAGGAAUGCAGAUUCCUCCCAGUCUGCCAGAUAGAUGUCCGCGUAGGCCGGUGAAUAUUUCCUCCCCAUUGCGCAGCCGCAUAUUUGUAGAAAGAAGGAUUUAUCAAAUAAAAAGUUGUUGCGGCCUCGAGGCCCAGGACAGUGUCGAUGUUCGUGUACAAGGAGAAAUCGUCGAUUGAAAAGAUAAACGUGUUAUCAGGGACGCUGAGAUUCUUCAACUUGUUGACAAAGGUGUAUGUGUCCUUAAGGUAGCUCGGGACGUCGAGGUCGGAGGUCACGGAAGGAGCGGAGGUCCUGAUCAAUGAGCUGGCGUAUAGGCUUUGAGACGGACUUCAAGGCUGAUUCCCAGAUAGACGGCGUAAUAAAAGGUAAGUAAAAAUAAUCAGUGUUAUAUUUAAAAUAAUCGAGAAUUUUUAACCGCCUGUGGUAAGUAUGUAGAUCUCAUCUCAAUAGGUCACGGUCUGGGAGUGACGGUGUCGUGAUGAAGGUGAGGCCUCGUUCGAGGAUCUCCUGAAAUAGUAACAUAGUUACGCCAUUAAAUGCGUUUAUGUAAACAUUUUUAGCGAGAAAUGUGCAUUUUACUUUCAUAAUGUUCGCUCGGUGAAUGUGAAGGAUGUUUGGUUUGAUAGUUAUGACGAAGAGGGAACGCUCCGUUCACUUGCAUGGACAGUGUCUCUGGUUGCUAUGCAACCUCAACGUCUUGGCGGACUAUAUCUCUGCUGAUCAACACUACGAGUGCUGGAAACACACCAGACACACCAUGUGAAGUUAUUUAACCCGAUUAUUGUUAUUUAUAUCUGAGAUUAUUUAAUCUAACCCGAUCCAAGCUCUAUCAUGCACCCAAACACGGCGGUGUUUGGGUUUCCUUCCUCGGACUCCUAAAUCAAGCGCAGCCACAGGCGCGUAGCUGCGUACGUAGGACCAUUUUUGACACAAAAUGGUCAAGCAACAUUUUAGCUGCGUUACGCACGUAAAUCUUACGCGGGUUACGCGUUUGGUGUGUUCGUACCUUAAGCGUCGACAGUGUGUUGAGAUAACCAGCACGUGAGUCAACGUCCUCGAUAUUCUCCCUCACAAAGUCAUUAAAAGACUUGACACAACGGAGUUGGGUGGCGGAUAGCCUGAUAGAUACCGUUAUGAGGGGAAUUGCAAUGCAAGCCUGGGGGAAUGUUUCUCUGGCCGUCCUAAUUAAACGUUGGGUUUCCUUAAUUAUUGUGAUAGCUGUCUGUUGUCUAAGGCAGUUGUUUAUGCCAAUAGACAAUAAGAUGAGCUUAGUGUCCAAUCUGGGAGAUGUGUGUUUCUGCAAGAUGGCUGUUAGAUGUCUUAAUGUGGCUCCUGGAAAGCUAUCUAUCUGGAUGUCGUCCAUUUUUCUUUUUGGGAUGCGGGCCAAGUUGGAAUCGCCCAUGAAAAUCAUGUGUUUUCUAAUAGACAGGGACCACAUAGUGGCUUUGCGGUUCGUAGGGGGGUGUAUGCAGGGCUGGUGGUAGGAAGCACUGAGCAUAGGGGAAGAGAAAAGAUAAGGAAAAGUCGGGGUUUGGCGACUCGGACCUUUCCCCACUGGGACAAGGGCAACAACAGCAGGAGUGGUCAGAGGAGGCGUGAGAGGGCAAGGGUGAAUCUCCACGCAACCUGUGAGUGAGUCAGAGUUCUGAAUUGAGCCAUUCUUAGUGAUGAUUAUCUUGUUCCUUGUCAUGGAAGGUAACACCGUGAGGGGAAAAACGGUCUGUCUAGUUACUGGACCAGAUGAAAUGAGACGGAGAGGUAAUAAAGUCUGUCGGCACGAGGACCUUGGAUUUAUUAA
Molecule: long non-coding RNA, 1994 nt
Organism: Gadus chalcogrammus (walleye pollock)
Lineage: Eukaryota; Metazoa; Chordata; Actinopteri; Gadiformes; Gadidae
Exons: 3
Source: RefSeq, a predicted model, not a curated record